RNAcentral lists this ribosomal RNA (483 nucleotides) under uncultured bacterium. RNAcentral describes it as "partial 16S ribosomal RNA". It matches the Rfam family "Bacterial small subunit ribosomal RNA", at positions 28 to 507 of the family's 1533-position model. The record is from RNAcentral.
GACGAACGCUGGCGGCGUGCUUAACACAUGCAAGUCGAACGAUGAAGCGGGUGCUUGCACUCGUGGAUUGGUGGCGAACGGGCGAGUAACACGUGAGUAACCUGUCCUUUUCUUUGGGAUAACGGCUGGAAACGGCUGCUAAUACUGGAUAUUCAGGCUGCAUCGCAUGGUGUGGUUUGGAAAGGUUUUUUCUGGGAUUGGGUGGGCUCGCGGCCUAUCAGCUUGUUGGUGGGGUGAUGGCUUACCAAGGCUUUGACGGGUAGCCGGCCUGAGAGGGUGGUCGGUCGCACUGGGACUGAGAUACGGCCCAGACUCCUACGGGAGGCAGCAGUGGGGAAUAUUGCACAAUGGACGAAAGUUUGAUGCAGCGACGCCGCGUGGAGGGUGUAGGCCUUCGGGUUGUGAACUCCUUUUUCUCGCGAAAAAGGCACAGUUUUGGCUGUGUUGAUGGUAGUGGGGGAAGAAGCGCCGGCUAACUACGUG